Molecule: long non-coding RNA, 664 nt
Organism: Rhincodon typus (whale shark)
Lineage: Eukaryota; Metazoa; Chordata; Chondrichthyes; Orectolobiformes; Rhincodontidae
Exons: 5
Source: RefSeq, a predicted model, not a curated record
AUACUGUGCUUUUAUACAUGUUUUUCUACUGGCUCCUAUUUUGAUCCUUUUCUGUGGGACCAGUGAGGAGCUUGUGUCCGAUUUGGAGACCAUCGGAGCCAGGAAAGGACAAACAAACCUGUCUAGGAUUCUGCUGCUCAUAUAUGAGAGCUGGAAGUAUCAAACAAAAUAAGUACCAGGAGCCAGCUCAUGGAUACAGACCUCCCGGAAUGCAAAACUUCUGGAAAUUAGAACUCACAAAGUCAUCCUCUGUAUAUGGCCCCGGGUGUCUAUAGUGCACAGCUACACAACAAAAGGAAGUGAAAACGUUGGAAAAUUGUCACGUAAAGAGUCAUCUCUUCCAACAGUUAUUUAUGAGACACUGAGAAGUUAGAGUGCAACAGCAGAAAAGGAGAACCUCUCAACAAAGAGAUGCAGACAGGUGAUGUGUGAAGGCAAUGGUGCUAAACGGAACAAAUUAGUUUGAAACCCUCCCUUCUGUUGUGUUUCAUAUACGACUCAGUGAAAAGUAAACCAAAGAAAGAAAUACUAUCAUCAGAGAUCAAAUCAGCUCAGAAGCACCUCAGAUUGGAAAACAAUGAAUGGAGAAACAUGGGAUUUGAUUACAUGGUGAGAUUAGAUUCAAAAUGUUUUACAGUGUACUUUUCUUAAUAAAAGUUAUGUU